Molecule: unclassified non-coding RNA, 426 nt
Filed under: Hevea brasiliensis (rubber tree)
Lineage: Eukaryota; Viridiplantae; Streptophyta; Magnoliopsida; Malpighiales; Euphorbiaceae
Source: RNAcentral
GUGUCAAACACUGUUGGAUCCACCUGAGAUUUAUUUUCCUUUUAUUUUCAGUGUAUAAUCUUCAGCAGUCCUUUUCAACUGCAGCCCAUUGGGCCAAAGUGUGUUUGGGUUCUGAGGGUUCUGCUUCCCCCCCCAACACAAUAGAGGUAUUUAUCUCAAUAUACAGUACAGACAAAUCCAACAACAACUCUUUCUGGGACACUUUACAUCCCUUAAGUCCCUGUUACUAUAAUCAACCAAUUGCAGACUACUUUUAUUUUCUGAAUCUGAAUAAUGCUUUAGAAAGUUUCUCCAAAUGGUCUUUAGAGUGAAUAUCCUUUCACAGCCAAUGUCUCAUCCAUCUAUCAGUUUAUCAAAUGAGUAAAACCAGAGGUGGGAAGUAACAAAGUACAAAUAUUUCAUUACUGUACUUAAGUAGAUUUUUCA